RNAcentral lists this ribosomal RNA (140 nucleotides) under uncultured eukaryote. Its description in RNAcentral is "partial 18S ribosomal RNA". It matches the Rfam family "Eukaryotic small subunit ribosomal RNA", at positions 1299 to 1458 of the family's 1831-position model. The record is from RNAcentral.
UGGUGGAGUGAUUUGUCUGGUUAAUUCCGUAAACGAACGAGACCUUAGCCUGCUAAAUGGAUACAUGUAACCUCGGUUACAUGGGCAACUUCUUCAAGGGACUUUAUGUGUCUAACGCAAGGACGUUUGAAGCAAUAACA